This 450-nucleotide ribosomal RNA is filed under the name uncultured bacterium. Its description in RNAcentral is "bacterial SSU rRNA". It matches the Rfam family "Bacterial small subunit ribosomal RNA", at positions 29 to 476 of the family's 1533-position model. The record is from RNAcentral.
AUUGAACGCUGGCGGCGUGCCUAACACAUGCAAGUCGAGCGGUAACAGGUGUAGCAAUACAUGCUGACGAGCGGCGGACGGGUGAGUAACGCUUGGGAAUCUGCCUAUUAGUGGGGGACAACCCGGGGAAACUCGGGCUAAUACCGCAUACGCUCUACGGAGGAAAGCCGGGGACCGCAAGGCCUGGCGCUAAUAGAUGAGCCCAAGUCGGAUUAGCUAGUUGGUAGGGUAAUGGCCUACCAAGGCGACGAUCCGUAGCUGGUCUGAGAGGACGACCAGCCACACUGGGACUGAGACACGGCCCAGACUCCUACGGGAGGGCAGCAGUGGGGAAUAUUGGACAAUGGGCGCAAGCCUGAUCCAGCGAUGCCGCGUGUGUGAAAGAAGGCCUGCGGGGUUNUAAAGCAUUUCAGUAGGGAAGAAAGCCGAGUGCUAAUAUCACUCGGUCUU